Long non-coding RNA from Pongo pygmaeus (Bornean orangutan), 1179 nucleotides. RefSeq lists it as uncharacterized. Lineage: Eukaryota; Metazoa; Chordata; Mammalia; Primates; Hominidae. The record is from RefSeq and is a predicted model, not a curated record. The transcript is spliced from 4 exons.
GUUCGAAACCCCCUCCCUAACUCAGCCCGGCGGGACCCCUCUGCUUAACGGGGGGUCCUGCGGCAAAGAAAGUGGACGGGUUGCCACUUCUGUGCCUCCCCAGCCUGGGCUAUAAGGGGCUUUCAGACCAGCUUGGUUCCAGAUGUGUGUGUGGCGGGAGCCCUGUAUACUUUGAGGAGGAGAGCAGCAAGAAGCCUCUAACUCCCAGGCCAGCGUGCAGGAGAGCAGCCGGCGUUACAGUCUACACUGGGCUGCACACUGUCCCAUGAAGUAGCAGUUCUCCCCAUGUCGUAGAGUGGAGCCCUGGCAGAUUAAGAAACUUGCCAAAGAGCCCACAGCUGGCAAGAGGCAGAAUUCUGGCUCCGAAACCCGUGUUUUCCACAGGUUUACCCUUUGUUGAUUUGCAAGGGUUGGGAAACUAGCUUCCAUGGCCAAACCUAGCCCACUGUCUGUUUUGGUGUCCAUGGAUUGGCUGGGACAGCUCUGCUUAAGGAUGUAGUAGCUCUGUAGGUUGGCUAGUUUCCUGCUCUUCCCAACCUGCCCUAUGGACUUCAUAAGAUUUCAGCAUUAGAGAGAAUAUAGAAGGACAUCAACCCUAACUUCAUCCAGUGAGGAUUUCCACACACCAUACACUCUCUGAGAGUUCUCUUGGCUUUGUGUGCACACCUCCAGUGACAGGGAGCUCGCUAUGUCAUGAGGCAGCCUGCUCCCUUGUGGCUAUCACUGACCCAACUAUUAAGCCUUCUUAUACAGACAGUCCCUGACUUACUGUUAGACUUACAACUUUUUGAUUUUACAGUGGUGCAAAAGCAAUAUGCAUUCAAUAGAAACUGUAUUUCAAAUUUUGAAUUAUGAUCUUUUCCCAGGCUAGCAACAUAUGAAGACCAACCUUUUAUUUUUAAAGUAGGCUUUGUUUUAGAUGCUUUUGCCCAACUAUAGGUUAAUGUGAAUGUUCUGAGAAUAUUUAAGGAAGGCUAGGCUAAACUGUGAUCUUUGGGAGCUCAGAUAUGUUAAGUGCAUUUUCAACUUACAAUAUUUUCAACUUACGAUGAGUUUAUUGGGAUGAAGCCCAUUGUAAGUAAAGGAGCAUCUACAUUAAGCUAAAAUCCAUGUCUAUAACUUUCUCAGUAAUAUCAAGUUUGUUCCUUGGAGCCAGAGAAUAAACGGAAUGCUUUUCCA